GCCCUGGGUAGCACGUUUCCUUCACAGGCCGGAAGUCCAGCUGCUCGUGCCCUGGGAAGAGCAGCCUGGGAAGAGAGAAACCCUUCCCCUGCCUUCAUGUGUCCUAGGCUACUUAAGUUAUUCACAACAGCGAGAAAGUUCGAGGCCUGUCAGGAACCGAGAAAAACUGAUGUCUUGGCCUGCAGUGACUCCAAAUCCCAUAAUAUUUCCAAUUUUCCCCUCUACUAAAAAGUUUCUAAUGCCUGGGUGAAGAUAGGAAAACUGUCAGAUAGGCUGAGCACUGUCAUACUGUAAGUAUCUUUUUGAAAAAGAAGUUUAAGAAUAUUUCAUGUCCAUUUGUUUCAGGGAAAAUAUGUUUAAGAUAUAUGCAAAAUAUAGAGGUGGAUAUUAUAAUCAUCUUAAUAAUUUAUAAGAACUAGUCCUGUGUUGCUUUUAAAAAUUGAAAAUGUGUUCUCAUGUAUUAAAAUGAGGAUAUUUUUUCAAAUAGCAUUGAAAAAUAUUUCUAAUUCUAACAAGGAUUGAUCUUUUCUGUGUACAUUUGCUUAUUUAAAACUAUCAGAAUCCAGAAAGUCAUUGUAGUUUUAUAGGUUGUGAUUUGUUUGGGUGGCUUAUUGUUUAGGUUAUUUUGCAGAAUUAUUUAUUUGCUGAUUUAUUUAUGUAUUUCAUUAUUUAUUUAUUUGAUUAUUUAGUAAAUUAUUUAUCUGAUGAAUUAUUAAUACAUCUUCAUGACAUGUUUUAAAUUAUUUAUAACUUAAUUUUGAGUUUAUUGCUUUUAGACGCUGCAUUGUUACUGACUAGUUUUGAUUUUUUUUCUUUGUGGUUCUUGAAAAUUAAAGUAUUAGGUCUAAGGUAGCGAGUAUAUUCAUCCCAGUGCCAUGGAUUUUUUAUUUUUACCUUGUUGGUAGUUUAUGCCAGUGAUGAGAUUUUCGCUAUGCUUUGUUGUUUAAAUUUACCCUUUGAGGGUUACUUGUGUGUGAUAAAGUGUCAGGGUAUUGUGUAUGUGGUCAUUGUGAGUCAUUUGUUGAUUAGUGAUAGUGUUUCUUAUGUAAACAAAAAUGGAACUUGUAAACCUAACUCCACAUUAUUUUCUGUCUCUCUAAAGGCAGGUCUGCAUUUCUUGUUUUAAAAUAAGUGAUAGAGAUAUUUGAUUUUAGUGGCGAGUCAAUUUUACCACUGGAAUGCUUUUAGGACAGUUUAUAGAAUUGAAUAUCAUUUUAGAUUUGGGUCCCUUCUUUGUUUAAAGUCAACUAUAUGGGCAUUUGGAAAACAGCAAGAUCUUAUGUAAAUUUUUAUGUCACUCAUGAUAAUUAUUUCCCAAAUCUUACAAAUAAUAUUUUAAUAAGUUAGAUUGGUUUCUAUUGUUAAAAUGAAUACCAUUUCUUCUUCUGAUUCUGUGUCAUAAUGGUAAUAAUCAGAGCUUUCCUUUAGUAGUUUCUGGACAGGUAAAUAGCAUUUAAGCGAAGGCAUGCCAUGUUUGCAACAUGACUUUCAUUUCCUGUUUCUUAGAGUGAAUAUGCUUUACAGUUUUUACACUUGGGAGAGAAGAUGCACUGUAUAUCUCAAGUAUAGAAUGCUAUCACUUUCUAGAUAGGUUUUUAUUACAGAAUUGUAAAUUAUGCACAUGUAUCCAAAUUUCUUACCUUGAAAUAUUGCAUAUAUUAAUAUUUAAUUAAAAUAUUGCAGUAUUAUCUUCUCAUGCAGAUCUUGAAAAAUGUUCUUCAGUGAUUUAUGUAACAUGGAUUUAGAAGUGUGUAUAUCAUAUAUAUCUGUGGCUUUUCUACUCUGGAGAAAAGAACUUAAUACACCAUUAGAUAUGGAAAUCCACUUUGAAAUGUUUUUUAAUAUACUUGUGUGGUCUUUUGAAGAAAAAUGUUGCUUUCUCCAUUUGCUGAAUAAAGUACGUAUUAGCAGUCAUGGUAAUCUACUGAGGGUAUGCUAUUAUUAACACCCACUGAAAGAAUACUUACAGCAUUGUACAAGUGAUCAUUCCUGUGAUGAUACACACCUGGGAAUUUCUUCUGACAGUAAGAUAGUUUUAAUAACUUGUGUUUGAGCCAGCUGGUGGCGCACGCCUUUAAUUCAAGCACCCAGGAGGCAGAGGCAGGUGCAUCACUGUGUGUUUGAGGCCAGCAUAUUCUAUAGAGCAAGUUCAAGGACAGCCGGAGCUGUUACACACAGAAACCUUGUCUUGAAAAAAACCAACAAAGAACUUGUGUUUGAAAAGAGAUAUUAAUAAGUAUUACUUACUUCUUACCAUAUGCUGCGCAAUGUUCACAUAUUUUACUUGGAUUUCUUGACUUGCGCAAUGAGGUAACACUGUGAUUGUGUAAGUUUUCAUUUUGAGGAUGAGGAAAUAGAGAGUUGGUGAUGUUAAGUAGCUUGCUUUUACAGCUAAAAGUAAGUGGAGGGCACUGGCACAAGGAAUAAUUUAGUCAAUCAAAGGGCCUUUCUAAACCUGUUGGUUUUAUAAAUGUAGAUAGUAUAUAGUAUUUAACCAGAGAUUGCUCUGCAUUUUAGAGGAUUUAUUUGGUCACCUGUCUCUUACAGGUUUAGCUUGUUCAGUAUAUUCAGUUUGUGUUUUUACUUAAUUAUCUUUCUUGAAUGAUAGACAAAUAAUUGAACUACUUGGAUUUUCUGAUUUGAUUCUUAUAAUUUGUAGAGUUAAAUAAAACUGCAUACUUGUACCUCUGAGAUCUUGUGCAUUUGCCUGUUAGAUGAUCAAUUCUAAGAUCAAAUCUUUGACAGUUAAACUCAAGGACAUUCCCAGAGCUCAGUUUGAUCAAGUAUGAUUUGUCAUAAGGGUAAUAUUGUUAGGACUACACACAUAUUUUUGAAAGGAUGACUGGUGUUUAGGUUUUACACACAUGGCCACUUAACAUGUUCAUAAACAGGACAAAGUCAUUUUAGUUUCUAACGCAGCUACUUAUUCUUGAGACAGGCUGCCAUUAUCUAGCCCAGGCUGGCCUGGAACUUGUUAUCCUCCGUUCUCAGCCUCUUAUGUGCUGGGAUCAGAGACAUGCACCAUCAUGCCCAGUCCAGUACAAUUUUUACUCUCAGGGAAUAAGAAAAGGUGUCAGUUUGUGUGAGGCUCAUCGGUCAGGGUCUCUCCAUCUCCAUUUGCUACCUGAAAACAGGGAGCUAUUCAUCUUGGUUCCUAAAUAAGUACAUUAAGCACAUCAGAAAACAGAUCAAUUAAAAAUGGCAGUGUUAGUGUGGGUUGCUAUGAAUGCCAUCGCAAGCAGGGUAGGGCAAUUCAAAGUUGUAAUUAUUCAAAUAUUGUUAGAUCAUGAAGCCCUAGUUCAUUAGUGAUAUGAUAUUACCGUUGCUAUGAUGACUAUGAAUUUGUCUUCUCACCUAGGAUACUUUUGAAAGUUAUUUGCCAGAGUAGGAUGUUGUAGAGUGGAGCCUUCCUGGCUUCUGAUGCCUUUAUAUUGUCUGUUGAGCAGGACUUUCACUCGAUAUACACUAUCAUUGAACUUGUUUCGUUUUUCUAGAUAAUGUUUAUUACAGGUCACUGUUUUACUUUUGUGUUUGUUUUAUACCAGCCAACAUGGUUGGUGGCUGUGUCUUUUGGGAAAGGCUGACACUGUACUGCUCAUAGAACCUCUUUACUUUUUCUUUUACUUGUUAAAUUAUGCCUUAUCUAGUUAAUAUAGAAGUGAGGUAAUACUUUAUGUCAUAGCCAAACUUAUAUUUAUUAUUUAAAAUUUUUUUUCUUACAAAAUGUUUUGGUUAUAUUCUUCCCCUUCCCCCGAAUCUUCUCAGAUACCCACCUGAUCUCAUGUUCUCUUUCUCAAAACAAAACCAAACCAAGAAAAUGAAGCAAAACACAAACCAAUAAGCCAUAACAAAAAAUACAUAAAAACAUGGAAUCAUUUUGUAUUGAUCAGGUACUCCAUUGCAUGAGGCCUGCCCUGAAGUGUGGUUGAUAUACCCAGUGACUGAUUUUUCCUCUACGAGCAGGUAUUAAUUACAGUUAGCUUCUUGGUUAGAGGUAGGACUUUGUGUUCACUUCCUUUUUUUCUUCUGGGACUUGUCUGGUUUUAACCUAUGCAGAUCUUGAGUGUGCUGUCAGGGCCUCUGUGCUCUUAUUUGCAUCAGUCCUGCUGUGCCUGGAAGAUGCUGUUUUGUUUUUUUUUUGGGGGGUGGGGAAUCCUUUGGCUCUUAAAAUCUUUCUACUACCUCUUUCACAUAGAUCCCUGAGUCUUGGAGGGGUGAGCUUGAUAAACACAUCCCAUCCCAAUUAGGGCUGGAUGAUUAGAACUCAUUUUCAAGGAGUAUGUAAAUGAAAGGGUGUUAUUAUUGUAAAUAGGAAAGAUAAGCAGGCAAAGUGGACCACAGUAAAGUGGACAGUUGCCAUUUUUUCUUUAUAUCAAAUAUUGUAGCAUUGUUAUGUUUCUUUUUAUCUUGCAAGUCUGGUAAUUAACAGUGUAUUUGACAUUGUGCUGAAAGAUAAUCCUGUUUAUUAAAUCUUCAGAAUUUGUAAUUUUGCUGAAUGAUCCCAUGAUCUUAAUUUUUUUUAAAGCUGUGCUGUGAUGUGUGUCACAUAUGUUGAUUAGGUUGGCAGUUUUGCCAAAAUAUUUUUUCCAUUUUUUUAUUUGAAUUAGAAACAAGUUUGUUUUACAUGCCACUCCCAGUUCUGUCUCCCUCCCCUCCGCCCUA
Molecule: non-coding RNA, 4662 nt
Organism: Cricetulus griseus (Chinese hamster)
Lineage: Eukaryota; Metazoa; Chordata; Mammalia; Rodentia; Cricetidae
Source: RefSeq, a predicted model, not a curated record